UACGGGGGGUGCUAGCGUUAUUCGGAAUCAUUGGGCGUAAAGGGCGCGUAGGCGGUCGCUUAAGUCAGAUGUGAAAGCCCUCGGCUUAACCGAGGAAGUGCAUUUGAUACUAAGUGACUUGAGUAUGGGAGAGGGAAGCGGAAUUCCUGGUGUAGCGGUGAGAUGCGUAGAUAUCAGGAGGAACACCGGUGGCGAAGGCGGCUUCCUGGACCAAUACUGACGCUGAGGCGCGAAGGCGUGGGGAGCAAACAGG
This 253-nucleotide ribosomal RNA is filed under the name uncultured bacterium. RNAcentral describes it as "partial 16S ribosomal RNA". It matches the Rfam family "Bacterial small subunit ribosomal RNA", at positions 524 to 776 of the family's 1533-position model. The record is from RNAcentral.